CGUUGAAACACCAGUUCUUGUAUGAUCACUGAAGUUAAGCAAUGUCAAGCCUUGCCAAUACCUAGAUGGGUGACAGCUUGGGAAUACCAGGUGAUGUA
Molecule: non-coding RNA, 98 nt
Organism: Acanthosepion pharaonis
Lineage: Eukaryota; Metazoa; Mollusca; Cephalopoda; Sepiida; Sepiidae
Source: the annotation of a GenBank genome assembly